This 846-nucleotide ribosomal RNA is filed under the name uncultured bacterium. RNAcentral describes it as "bacterial SSU rRNA". It matches the Rfam family "Bacterial small subunit ribosomal RNA", at positions 64 to 873 of the family's 1533-position model. The record is from RNAcentral.
GAACGAGUUCUCGUUGAUGAUCGGUGCUUGCACCGAGAUUCAACAUGGAACGAGUGGCGGACGGGUGAGUAACACGUGGGUAACCUGCCCUUAAGUGGGGGAUAACAUUUGGAAACAGAUGCUAAUACCGCAUAGAUCCAAGAACCGCAUGGUUCUUGGCUGAAAGAUGGCGUAAGCUAUCGCUUUUGGAUGGACCCGCGGCGUAUUAGCUAGUUGGUGAGGUAAUGGCUCACCAAGGCGAUGAUACGUAGCCGAACUGAGAGGUUGAUCGGCCACAUUGGGACUGAGACACGGCCCAAACUCCUACGGGAGGCAGCAGUAGGGAAUCUUCCACAAUGGACGCAAGUCUGAUGGAGCAGCGCCGCGUGAGUGAAGAAGGCUUUCGGGUCGUAAAACUCUGUUGUUGGAGAAGAAUGGUCGGCAGAGUAACUGUUGUCGGCGUGACGGUAUCCAACCAGAAAGCCACGGCUAACUACGUGCCAGCAGCCGCGGUAAUACGUAGGUGGCAAGCGUUAUCCGGAUUUAUUGGGCGUAAAGCGAGCGCAGGCGGUUUUUUAAGUCUGAUGUGAAAGCCCUCGGCUUAACCGAGGAAGCGCAUCGGAAACUGGGAAACUUGAGUGCAGAAGAGGACAGUGGAACUCCAUGUGUAGCGGUGAAAUGCGUAGAUAUAUGGAAGAACACCAGUGGCGAAGGCGGCUGUCUGGUCUGUAACUGACGCUGAGGCUCGAAAGCAUGGGUAGCGAACAGGAUUAGAUACCCUGGUAGUCCAUGCCGUAAACGAUGAAUGCUAGGUGUUGGAGGGUUUCCGCCCUUCAGUGCCGCAGCUAACGCAUUAAGCAUUCCGCC